This is a long non-coding RNA of Sapajus apella (tufted capuchin), 243 nucleotides long. RefSeq lists it as uncharacterized. The transcript has 4 exons. Lineage: Eukaryota; Metazoa; Chordata; Mammalia; Primates; Cebidae. The record is from RefSeq and is a predicted model, not a curated record.
CAGUCUCUGGCAACACAGCAGACACAAUGCAAAACUCAGAGGCGAGUGUCUUUGCUAGGGUGUUUUAAACGUCUUAGCAGGAUGUGAACCCAGGUGGUUAACGGCCAAUUUGGCUGGAGCAAAUUCUUCUCACCAGAGUGGGCUCAGCAUAUGAGGAGAGGGCUGGGAGGUGGGCUCAGGGACUGUGGAUGGUGCCGAAGGGUGAAAGAGCUGGAGUGCCGGCUCUCUGGCUCCAUGAGCUCC